Aedes aegypti (yellow fever mosquito) is the source of this 577-nucleotide long non-coding RNA. RefSeq lists it as uncharacterized. The record is from RefSeq and is a predicted model, not a curated record. The transcript has 3 exons. NCBI's taxonomy places the organism in Eukaryota, Metazoa, Arthropoda, Insecta, Diptera, Culicidae.
AAUCUAUAGCUUUACGGAGUUUUCGGUAGCAAUAUUUUUUACUGAGUUAACUCUGCUGUUCAAAAACCCAGUAAAUUUUACUGACUUCGGUAAUCAAAUCUAAGUGUGUAACUAGUUUGUUCAAUAGUGGUUAUCACGCCCAAUAGUAUGGGUGCCCUAGUGUAGAUGUAGUUGUGAACCUUACACGCUAACAUAAAAGUACCCAUUAAAUGGGUUUCUAGUACCCAUUUUUAUGGUCAGUAUGGAGUUGUCAGAAAAAGAGUACUUUUCAGUGACAUAAAAAAGGGUACUUUAACCUCAUUAUGAAGUAUUCUUCCAGCUAAUAUAAAUGGUUGUUUUUCAGCUCGGUGUUAAUGAAAAAAAGUCAGGGUUUAUUUCAUUGUUCGACAAAUAAAUAAUUAUGGAGGAGCAGAUUGCACGCACUCUUUGCGACACAUUUUUGGAUGACUGCAGCUGAGUUCAAUGCCAACUGCAGCGAUUUCCUAAGUACCUGGGUCGUCUACUAAAUGAUCAUAUACAUGUUGAAUUAUUGUUUUGUUAAAUUAUGAAAUAAAUGUAUGAUGUAUUUUAUUAAUUC